This is a long non-coding RNA of Ctenocephalides felis (cat flea), 252 nucleotides long. RefSeq lists it as uncharacterized. The record is from RefSeq and is a predicted model, not a curated record. The transcript is spliced from 3 exons. Lineage: Eukaryota; Metazoa; Arthropoda; Insecta; Siphonaptera; Pulicidae.
GGAAAAUGCUUUUUGGCGUAAAGAAUUAUUAUCACACUAUGGUAGAAAGAAUAAAAAUCAUUUUUUGGAUUUUAUAAAUUCCUCAUCAGGAAAAGAAUCAGAAAUUAGAAUUGAUUCUUCAGAUGAAUGUAUAAACAUUCUGUUAUCACCUCCACAAAGUCUUGUGAAUCAGUGCCUUCUUCAAGAAGAUUUCCAGAAAGCUAGUGAUGUAAUUGAAAGAUACCAUAUACAAGACAGCUUUGAAGCCAAACG